GACGAACGCUGGCGGCGUGCUUAACACAUGCAAGUCGAACGGAAAGGCCCUGCUUUUGUGGGGUGCUCGAGUGGCGAACGGGUGAGUAACACGUGAGUAACCUGCCCUUGACUUUGGGAUAACUUCAAGAAACUGGGGCUAAUACCGGAUAGGAGCUCCUGCUGCAUGGUGGGGGUUGGAAAGUUUCGGCGGUUGGGGAUGGACUCGCGGCUUAUCAGCUUGUUGGUGGGGUAGUGGCUUACCAAGGCUUUGACGGGUAGCCGGCCUGGGAGGGUGACCGGCCACAUUGGGACUGAGGUACGGCCCAGACUCCUACGGGAGGCAGCAGUGGGGAAUAUUGCACAAUGGGCGGAAGCCUGAUGCAGCAACGCCGCGUGCGGGAUGACGGCCUUCGGGUUGUAAACCGCUUUCGCCUGUGACGAAGCGUGAGUGACGGUAAUGGGUAAAGAAGCACCGGCUAACUACGUG
Molecule: ribosomal RNA, 468 nt
Filed under: uncultured bacterium
Lineage: Bacteria
Description: partial 16S ribosomal RNA
Rfam family: Bacterial small subunit ribosomal RNA
Source: RNAcentral